Fukomys damarensis (Damara mole-rat) is the source of this 640-nucleotide long non-coding RNA. RefSeq lists it as uncharacterized. The transcript is spliced from 3 exons. Lineage: Eukaryota; Metazoa; Chordata; Mammalia; Rodentia; Bathyergidae. The record is from RefSeq and is a predicted model, not a curated record.
CUCCUUUUCCUUUCACCUCUUUCAAGGCUUCUCCCCUAGAGCAGUGGGACUCUGGUAUGGCCGGUUUUCUGUGAGAUGUUGCACCGUCUCACAAGAUUCUAUCCAGGUCUGUAUCUGGAACAGCCUGUCAUCGAUCUCGCCCUCUAUCGCUCAGGGACCUAGGAGGCCCCAGGACGGCAGUCUGCGUAGGUGACCUGUGAGGCGCGGGCCGGGCGGGGCCUUUUCGUCCUUGACAAACCUGGUAUACUUUUUCAGUGCUGUUUGGAAGAAAAUCUGUUCUCGCCCUGUCGUUUUACAAAUAUAGAAAAAGACCUAAAAGAGAAGUUAGCAGCUGCACCCUCUAUCAUUAUUGAGUGGUUACUAGUACCAGGCUCUUUGAUAAUCAUUUGUUAGGGGUUAUCCCAUUUUACAGGUCGAGACUCAAGAUAUCAGUAAUUUGCUAAGACCAAACGUGAGAUGAACAGUACGUAUUUGACCAAGAUCACAUAAGUAGGAGUUGGGGAAUUGGAACCUACUAUGACCGACUUCAACUUAAUGCAGUUUGUAGUCACUUCUAUAAUAAUGAUCAUCAAAAUUGGAAGUUUUAAAUAGAAAAAUUACAUUAAGGGCCAGGAAUUUAGCUCAGUGGUUCCACCGCCUG